Molecule: ribosomal RNA, 391 nt
Filed under: Diplodus sargus (white seabream)
Lineage: Eukaryota; Metazoa; Chordata; Actinopteri; Spariformes; Sparidae
Description: partial 12S ribosomal RNA
Rfam family: Bacterial small subunit ribosomal RNA
Source: RNAcentral
GCCUAGCCAUAAACAUUGACAGUUUAUUACAUUUUCUGUCCGCCUGGGAACUACGAGCACUAGCUUAAAACCCAAAGGACUUGGCGGUGCUUUAGACCCACCUAGAGGAGCCUGUUCUAGAACCGAUAAUCCCCGUUCAACCUCACCCUUCCUUGCCUAUCCCGCCUAUAUACCACCGUCGUCAGCUUACCCUGUGAAGGACAAAAAGUAAGCAAAACUGGCACCACCCAGAACGUCAGGUCGAGGUGUAGCGAAUGGAGGGGGAAGAAAUGGGCUACAUUCCCUUGUUUACAGGGAACCACGAAUAGUGUACUGAAAACGUACACUUGAAGGAGGAUUUAGCAGUAAGAGGAAACUAGAGCGUUCCACUGAAGUCGGCUCUUAAGCGCGC